UCCGAGUUGACCCCGGCAGUCUCCUAUGAGUCCCCGGCAUUAUCCGCUGGCAACAUAGGACGAGGGUUGCGCUCGUUGCGGGACUUAACCCAACAUCUCACGACACGAGCUGACGACAGCCAUGCAACACCUGUGGCCAGGCCCCUUGCGGGGCACCGACGUUUCCGCCGGCUUCCUGGUCAUGUCAAGUCCUGGUAAGGUUCUUCGCGUCGCGUCGAAUUAAACCCCACGCUCCGCUGCUUGUGCGGGCCCCCGUCAAUUCUUUUGAGUUUCAGCCUUGCGGCCGUACUCCCCAGGCGGAGUGCUUAAUGCGUUAACUGCAGCACUAAGGGGCGGAAGCCCCUUAACACCUAGCACUCAUCGUUUAGGGCGUGGACUAC
RNAcentral lists this unclassified non-coding RNA (380 nucleotides) under uncultured bacterium. RNAcentral describes it as "contains 16S-23S intergenic spacer region". The record is from RNAcentral.